RNAcentral lists this ribosomal RNA (561 nucleotides) under Peribacillus gossypii. RNAcentral describes it as "bacterial SSU rRNA". It matches the Rfam family "Bacterial small subunit ribosomal RNA", at positions 88 to 635 of the family's 1533-position model. Lineage: Bacteria; Bacillati; Bacillota; Bacilli; Caryophanales; Bacillaceae. The record is from RNAcentral.
GAAGUUAGCGGCGGACGGGUGAGUAACACGUGGGCAACCUGCCUGUAAGACUGGGAUAACUUCGGGAAACCGGAGCUAAUACCGGAUACGUUCUUUCCUCGCAUGAGGAAAGAUGGAAAGACGGUUUCGGCUGUCACUUACAGAUGGGCCCGCGGCGCAUUAGCUAGUUGGUGAGGUAAUGGCUCACCAAGGCCACGAUGCGUAGCCGACCUGAGAGGGUGAUCGGCCACACUGGGACUGAGACACGGCCCAGACUCCUACGGGAGGCAGCAGUAGGGAAUCUUCCGCAAUGGACGAAAGUCUGACGGAGCAACGCCGCGUGAGCGAAGAAGGCCUUCGGGUCGUAAAGCUCUGUUGUUAGGGAAGAACAAGUGCCAGAGUAACUGCUGGCACCUUGACGGUACCUAACCAGAAAGCCACGGCUAACUACGUGCCAGCAGCCGCGGUAAUACGUAGGUGGCAAGCGUUGUCCGGAAUUAUUGGGCGUAAAGCGCGCGCAGGUGGUUCCUUAAGUCUGAUGUGAAAGCCCACGGCUCAACCGUGGAGGGUCAUUGGAAACUG